AAACUCAAAUGAAUUGACGGGGCCCGCGACAAGCGGAGGAACAUGUGGUUAAUUCGAUGAUACGCGAGGAACCUUACCUGGGCUUAAAUGGGGAGUGACAGCUGUCGAAAGAUGGUUUCUUCGGACACUCUUCAAGGUGCUGCAUGGUUGUCGUCAGCUCGUGCCGUGAGGUGUCGGGUUAAGUCCCAUAACGAGCGCAACCCUUACCGUUAGUUACCAUCAGGUUAAGCUGGGGACUCUAGCGGGACUGCCACCGUAAGGUGAGAGGAAGGUGGGGAUGACGUCAAAUCAGCACGGCCCUUAUGUCCAGGGCUACACACGUGUUACAAUGGCCAGUACAAAGGGCAGCUACCGGGUGACCGGAUGCUAAUCUCUAAAGCUGGUCUCAGUUCGGAUCGAAGUCUGCAACCCGACUUCGUGAAGCUGGAUUCGCUAGUAAUCGCGCAUCAGCCAUGGCGCGGUGAAUACGUUCCCGGGCCUU
RNAcentral lists this ribosomal RNA (481 nucleotides) under uncultured Sphingobacteriales bacterium. Its description in RNAcentral is "bacterial SSU rRNA". It matches the Rfam family "Bacterial small subunit ribosomal RNA", at positions 897 to 1382 of the family's 1533-position model. The record is from RNAcentral. Lineage: Bacteria; Pseudomonadati; Bacteroidota; Sphingobacteriia; Sphingobacteriales.